Molecule: ribosomal RNA, 100 nt
Filed under: Oryza glaberrima (African rice)
Lineage: Eukaryota; Viridiplantae; Streptophyta; Magnoliopsida; Poales; Poaceae
Description: rRNA EPlOGLG00000000529
Source: RNAcentral
GGAGAAUCGGAUGUAACUUUUUCCGUAUAUGUCCGUGGAUAUAUUAUUUGCCUGAUUCCGAGUCCGUAUGAGAAAGUUACGCCUAUUUUAAUAAAUGACA